Molecule: ribosomal RNA, 465 nt
Filed under: uncultured bacterium
Lineage: Bacteria
Description: partial 16S ribosomal RNA
Rfam family: Bacterial small subunit ribosomal RNA
Source: RNAcentral
GACGAACGCUGGCGGCGUGCUUAACACAUGCAAGUCGAACGGAAAGGCCCCCUUGUGGGGUACUCGAGUGGCGAACGGGUGAGUAACACGUGAGUAACCUACCCUUGACUUUGGGAUAACUUCAGGAAACUGGGGCUAAUACCGGAUAGGAGCUCCUGCUGCAUGGUGGGGGUUGGAAAGUUUCGGCGGUUGGGGAUGGACUCGCGGCUUAUCAGCUUGUUGGUGGGGUAGUGGCUCACCAAGGCUUUGACGGGUAGCCGGCCUGAGAGGGUGACCGGCCACAUUGGGACUGAGAUACGGCCCAGACUCCUACGGGAGGCAGCAGUGGGGAAUAUUGCACAAUGGGCGGAAGCCUGUUGCAGCAACGCCGCGUGCGGGAUGACGGCCUUCGGGUUGUAAACCGCUUUCGCCUGUGACGAAGCGUGAGUGACGGUAAUGGGUAAAGAAGCACCGGCUAACUACGUG